This 1181-nucleotide long non-coding RNA is filed under the name Cyanistes caeruleus (blue tit). RNAcentral's name for it is "lncRNA (ENSCCEG00000021334.1)". Lineage: Eukaryota; Metazoa; Chordata; Aves; Passeriformes; Paridae. The record is from RNAcentral.
ACCUUCUUCUUCUUUAAUCACACUUUAAGCUGUGUCUGUGUGAAUUAUUUCAGGUCCGACAGUGACAAAUGUUGGCUCAGGUUAAGAUUUUAAUCUCAGUGUUCAUGUAAUACAAGAAGCCAACCACUUUCCAAACAGCACCUGGUAUGGUAGGACAGAAGAUCCUGGAGCUGGAAGAUCCUAAACCCCUUCAGUGUCCUCCUAAAUGGGAGUCCUGAAGAAGCAGAAAAACACCCGAACCCAGAAUCCCAAGUUAUCUCUGCUAACUGCAAGGAAUGAUCCAAACUUGCAGGGUGAAGAACUGCAGAGAAAGAUAUGCAUGGAUAACAGACUUAGAACAACUCCAGAAGAAAAAUGCUGCUCACAGAGUGCUGGCAUACAUUCAGAAAUCAGCCUUCUGUUUUGGAUACAGCCACAUUUCCUGCCCAUACCCACUCUCUCAGCACUGAUGCCAGCCAAAGCUCAUCCUCUGCUGAAGGACCUUCAGCUCAGCCUUCCCCAAAUAUAUUGGAAAGACAAUGUAUUAACAAAACAAAACAAAAAAGAAGCAGAAAAGGAGAGAGACAAGAGCACAGAGGAGGCCCGGAGGGAAAGAAAAAUAUUCAAAUAAUGGAGUAAGGGUGAGGCUGGCAAACUUUGUGGCAGUGAAACAACAGAUGGACUGUAGUUUUAGUGAUUCAUCACACAGAUGGUUCAGCAGAUGGAUUCUGUUGGGUUCAUACAGCUUAGGUGGAAAUAUCAGCUGCUGAUCUUGACAGGCAGGGCAGCUUCAGCAGAGGCAGUAUCCUUGCUUUGCCUUCCCUUGUACAUGUCCUGUUUUCCCAGACUGGCAGUGCAGGGACAAUGCUGAGUGCCACAGCAUUGGCCAGCCUUUGUGCUCCUUACAUGCCACAUAGUUCAAGAUUUUCUCUGUCUGUUCUAGGAAGGAAAAAGUUUGCUGUGAGUGGAUGUACCACCUCAUUUCUGCCACCCAGUCAAGUGACAAAUGCUGUUCCUUGGGAAACAAAAACAUCUACAGAUUGUGAUGAUUUCUAUCUAUAAAAAUUCUGUCAGCCUGGAUAGCAUUUCUGACAGAGUAUAACUUCUCCAAGGGAUGAAACAUCUUCCCAGUUUUACUGUGGGGGGUCUAGAUUCCCAAAUAACCUAUGACCAUUAAUGCAAUAAAGAGGAAUUAAAGCACA